UAAUUGAAGAGUAUAGAUCAGGCUCAGAUGAACGCAGACGGCAGGCUUAACACAUGCAAGUCGAGCGGUACACAGGGGAGCUUGCUCCCUGGGUGACCGAGCGGCGGACGGGUGAAGUAAUGUCAGGAACUGCCUGAUGGAGGGGGAAAACUACUGGAAACGGUAGCUAAUAACGCGCAUAACGUCGCAAGACCAAAGAUGGGACCUUCCCGGCCUCUUGCCAUCAGAUGUGCCCGAUGGGAUUAGCAUAGUAGUGGGGUAAUGGCUCACCAAGGCGACGAUCCCUAGCUGGUCUGAGAGGAUACCAGCCACACUGGAACAGAGACACGGUCCAGACUCCUACUGGAGGCAUCAGUGGGGAAUAUUGCACAAUGGGCGCAAGCCUGAUGCAGCCAUGCCGCGUUGUGAAGAAGCCUUCGGUAGUAAAGCACUUUCCAGCGAGGAGGAAGGUGGUGAGCUUAAAUACUUUCAUCAAUUGACGUUACUCGCAGAAGAAGCACCAGCUAACUCCGUGCCAGAGCCGCGGUAAUACGGAAGGUGCUAGCGUUAUUCGAAUUACUGGGCGUAAAGCGCACGCAGGCGGUUUGUUUAAGUCUGAUGUAAAUCCCCGGGCUCAACCUGGGAACUGCAUUUGAAACUGGCAAGCAGAGUCUCGUAGAGGGGGUAGAAUACCAGGGGUAGCGGUGAAAUGCGUAGAGAUCUUGGAGGAAUACCGGUGGCGAAGACGCCCCCUGGACGAAGACAGACGCUCAGGUGCGAAAGCGGGGGAGCAAACAGAAUAGAUACCCUGGUAGUCCACGUGUAUACGAUGUCGAUUUGGAGGUUUGCCCUUGAGGCGUGGCUCCGAUCUAACGCGUUAAAUCGCCGCCUGGGGAGUACGCUGCGCAAAGGUUAAAACCAAAAAUGAAUUUGCGGGGGCCCGCACAAGCGUUGGAGCAUGGUGGUUUAAUUCGAUGCAACGCGAAUAACUUACCUACUCUUGACAUCCAAGAACUUAGCAAGAUGCUUUGGUGCCUUCGGGAAACUCUGAGACAGGUGCUGCAUGCUGUCCCCGUCAUCUCGUGUUGUGAAUGUUGGUUUAAGGUCCCGCCAACGACGCAACCCUUAUCCUUUGUUGCCACGGUUCGGCCGGGAACUCAAAGGAGAACUGCCAUGAUAAACUGGAGUAAGGUGGAUGACGACAAGUCCUCAUGGCACUUACGAGUUGGGCUUACACACUGCUACAAUGGCGAAGAAAGAGGAAGCGACCUCGCGAGAGCAAGCGGACCUCAUAAAGUACGUCGUCGUCCGGAUUGGAGUCUGCAACUCGACUCCCAUGAAGUCGGAUCGCUUAGUAAUCGUAGAUCAUAAUGCUACGGUGAUACUUCCCGUGCCUUGUAACACCGCCCGUCACACCCAUGGGAUUGGGUUUCAAUAGAAGUAGGUAGCUUAACCUUCGGAGGCGCUUACCACUUUGUGAUUCUAUGACUGGGGUGAAGUCGUAACAGGUAACCGUAGGGGAACCUGCGGUUUGAUUCACCUCCUUA
RNAcentral lists this ribosomal RNA (1526 nucleotides) under Serratia sp. CMO1. RNAcentral's name for it is "bacterial SSU rRNA". It matches the Rfam family "Bacterial small subunit ribosomal RNA". Lineage: Bacteria; Pseudomonadati; Pseudomonadota; Gammaproteobacteria; Enterobacterales; Yersiniaceae. The record is from RNAcentral.